This 1021-nucleotide long non-coding RNA is filed under the name Corvus moneduloides (New Caledonian crow). RNAcentral describes it as "lncRNA (ENSCMUG00000019469.1)". The record is from RNAcentral. Lineage: Eukaryota; Metazoa; Chordata; Aves; Passeriformes; Corvidae.
GUGGCAUUUAAGGCUAUGGAUCCUUGGAGCCUCACUCCAUUUUCCCAGAUUUCUGUAAUUUGCCCUGACCCACAGAGUGUUCAGCACUUCUGAACUUUGCCAGGGUGAGAUUUCCCUCUCAUAAUCCCACAGGGAUGAGUCCCUAAACCUGAUGUGCCCUUUUCUUUUUCCCUUUGCAGGGCUUCAGUUCUGGGCCAUCAUCCUCAUCUGCCUUUUCACCCUGCUGGGCUUCGUCCUCCUCGUCUUGUUGUGCUUCCUGGGGCUCUCCUGCCUGAGGAGAAAGUCCCACCUGUACCAGGUGCAGCAGGGCCUGUACAAGCUGCACUUCCCCAGCCUGAGCACAGGGAAGGUUCACUGACACCUCAGCUUGGUCUUCCCAGACCUGUUCGUCCACUGAUGAAGGAAAAAUAGCUCUAAAAACUAGAAAAAUACUCCUUUUAAUAAAUUAUUUCAGCAUUUUCUCUCUCCCUGAGAUAAAUCUUUGCAGUAUUGCCAUGAUUCUUCUCAUACUCCAGGAAACUGCCAACAGUGCAAGUGCUGAGGAAAAUAUUUUUCUAAAGCACAGCAGUGUUUCAUAGAAAUAGAAUUUUUAUAUAAAUAUUACACAACCAGAGGAAAAUAAAAACUACCAGGAGGUGCAGUUUGCAAGGCCCUUCAGUGUUAAUGUCAGUUUUCUGAAAAAGGCUUGAAAUUAUACUAAUUUAGAGAUUUUUGGGGACUGACUGUUGUAGACUUAGAAAUCCCACCUAGAUUUUAGCUUUUUUACCACUGAGCUUUAAAAAUUUAAGUACCUUAAAUUAAUUCAACUAUUUCAUCUAUUUAUAAUUACAAUAUUGUGAUGUAAAGAGACAUUGUUGAAUCUGAGUGGAACACAGCCAGGCUGUGUUUUUUUGAGAUUGCUGCUGAUUUCAGUUCAAUAAAUGCCACGUUUUACUUCCAUGAAGUUGUGUUUCCUCUGUCUCAGCAUUUUUGUCGUCCCAAAUGAGAAACUCUGCAGAAAUCCUGGAGGUUUUGCUCAUCA